GAAGAGAGAGUUCAAGAGUACGUGAAACCGCAUAGAGUCAAACUGGUGGAUCCGCAGAGUCCGCGCGGGGAAUUCAGCUCGGCAGGCGGGGCCGUGCGCCGGCCGAGAUUCGUCUCGGACCUGGCUGGCGCGCUGCGUACUCGCAGGCAGGGUGCACUUUCCCCGGCUAGCGGAAGGCCACGACCGGUUCGGUGGCGGUCAGGAGCCCGGAGCGGGAGGUAGCCGUGAUCGGUUCACGCCGAUUGCGGAACGUACAGCCCUCCGAGGUGGACUCGCCGCUGGACCGAGGAUGCCGCGGUGGCCUCACGCCGCGGGCCGUCCGGGAGCGUUCGACUUUGGCCACGCUGCUCGCAGCCGGCCGAGACCGCGCUUCUGGUACGGGCUCGCGAACGGGGGCCGCCUAGGGUCAGUGGCGAAUCGGUCGGCAACCCACCAGACCCGUCUUGAAACACGGACCAAGGAGUCUAGCAUGUGCGCGAGUCACGGGGUCUCUCGAAACCCAAGGGCGCAAUGAAAGUGAAGGCCGCCUCCGGCUGGCCCAGGCAAGAUCCCGAGACGUUCGCGUCGAGGGCGCACUGCCGGCCCGUCUCGCUGGCAUCGACCACGAGGCGGAGCAAGAGCGCACACGCUGGGACCCGAAAGAUGGUGAACUAUGCCUGAGUAGGACGAA
Molecule: ribosomal RNA, 670 nt
Filed under: Dreissena presbensis
Lineage: Eukaryota; Metazoa; Mollusca; Bivalvia; Myida; Dreissenidae
Description: eukaryotic LSU rRNA
Rfam family: Eukaryotic large subunit ribosomal RNA
Source: RNAcentral